Molecule: ribosomal RNA, 894 nt
Filed under: Diaporthe hickoriae
Lineage: Eukaryota; Fungi; Ascomycota; Sordariomycetes; Diaporthales; Diaporthaceae
Description: LSU rRNA
Rfam family: Eukaryotic large subunit ribosomal RNA
Source: RNAcentral
AGCAUAUCAAUAAGCGGAGGAAAAGAAACCUACAGGGAUUGCCCUAGUAACGGCGAGUGAAGCGGCAACAGCUCAAAUUUGAAAUCUGGCCUCGGCCCGAGUUGUAAUUUGCAGAGGAUGCUUCUGGCGCGGUGCCUUCCGAGUUCCCUGGAACGGGACGCCACAGAGGGUGAGAGCCCCGUAUGGUCGGACACCAAGCCUGUGUGAAGCUCCUUCGACGAGUCGAGUAGUUUGGGAAUGCUGCUCUAAAUGGGAGGUAAAUCUCUUCUAAAGCUAAAUACCGGCCAGAGACCGAUAGCGCACAAGUAGAGUGAUCGAAAGAUGAAAAGCACCUUGAAAAGGGGGUUAAAUAGUACGUGAAAUUGUUGAAAGGGAAGCACUUGUGACCAGACUUGGGCCGGGCGGCUCAUCAGGGGUUCUCCCCUGUGCACUCCGCCCGGCACAGGCCAGCAUCGGUUCUCGCGGGGGGAUAAGACCGCCGGGAACGUAGCACCCUCCGGGGUGUGUUAUAGCCCGGCGGACGAUACCCUCGCGGGGACCGAGGUCCGCGCUCCGCAAGGAUGCUGGCGUAAUGGUCACCAGUGACCCGUCUUGAAACACGGACCAAGGAGUCGUCCAUUAGAGCGAGCGUUUGGGUGUAAAACCCGCACGCGUAAUGAAAGUGAACGCAGGUGAGAGGUUCGGCGCAUCAUCGACCGAUCCUGAUGUUCUCGGAAGGAUUUGAGUAAGAGUUUUAACGGACGGACCCGAAAGACAGUGAACUAUGCUUGUAUAGGGUGAAGCCAGAGGAAACUCUGGUGGAGGCUCGCAGCGGUUCUGACGUGCAAAUCGAUCGUCAAAUAUGAGCAUGGGGGCGAAAGACUAAUCGAACUGUCUAGUAGCUGGUUACCGCCG